CUUCAAUUGUCUUCUUCAUUUUCUUGUGGGUGCCGAAUACACCAUAACCACAAACACCAAGCUUUAUUCUUUGAUUUUCUCUCAAAACUUUCUUCACGAAAAUUGUCGGGAAUAUUGCGUAGAUCGUGUAGGUGUAUUUGCAUGUUGAAUCAAGAUCCAGCGAGUUUUGUCGCGGAAACCGGCGAGCAAAGGUUUUGAAUAUUCGACGGGUGGUAUUUUUAUAUUUGGAAUAAGCGAGUACUGCGAGUAGUUUGACGUGUGGAUUUCCAAUUUCUUGUUCCGGAAAUCCCUGGAUUGAAUAAGUGAGAAUGACUUUCCUUUAUGUGUCUAGAGUUGCAGUAGCUAGAAUAAUGAACGGUGAUACCUUAGUAGUCGUUGGACUUAUUUAUGCUUUAUAUUUUAUAACGCUAAACUCUGAUAAUGUGUAAUAUGUGAAUGCUGUGCGAAAGUCCGGGCGACUGCACUUGAAUAAAAUGCGGCGAACGCAUCUGCAUAGUGAAAUGCAGUUAAGUCCAU
Molecule: long non-coding RNA, 516 nt
Organism: Mercurialis annua (annual mercury)
Lineage: Eukaryota; Viridiplantae; Streptophyta; Magnoliopsida; Malpighiales; Euphorbiaceae
Exons: 3
Source: RefSeq, a predicted model, not a curated record